UGCCAGCCGCCGCGGUAAUACGUAGGGUGCAAGCGUUGUCCGGAAUUAUUGGGCGUAAAGAGCUCGUAGGCGGUUUGUCGCGUCUGCUGUGAAAAUCCGAGGCUCAACCUCGGACCUGCAGUGGGUACGGGCAAACUAGAGUGCGGUAGGGGAGAUGGGAAUUCCUGGUGUAGCGGUGGAAUGCGCAGAUAUCAGGAGGAACACCGAUGGCGAAGGCACAUCUCUGGGCCGUAACUGACGCUGAGGAGCGAAAGCGUGGGGAGCGAACAGGAUUAGAUA
This 279-nucleotide ribosomal RNA is filed under the name uncultured bacterium. RNAcentral describes it as "partial 16S ribosomal RNA". It matches the Rfam family "Bacterial small subunit ribosomal RNA", at positions 506 to 784 of the family's 1533-position model. The record is from RNAcentral.